RNAcentral lists this signal recognition particle RNA (283 nucleotides) under Mus spicilegus (steppe mouse). RNAcentral describes it as "Metazoan signal recognition particle RNA (ENSMSIG00000029423.1)". It matches the Rfam family "Metazoan signal recognition particle RNA". From Rfam's summary of the family: The signal recognition particle (SRP) is a universally conserved ribonucleoprotein. It is involved in the co-translational targeting of proteins to membranes. The eukaryotic SRP consists of a 300-nucleotide 7S RNA and six proteins: SRPs 72, 68, 54, 19, 14, and 9. Lineage: Eukaryota; Metazoa; Chordata; Mammalia; Rodentia; Muridae. The record is from Rfam by way of RNAcentral.
GCCGUCGCGGUGGCGCACGCCUGUAGUCCCAGCUACUCAGGAGGCUGAGACUGGAGGAUCGCUUGAGUCCAGGAGUUCUGGGCUGUAGUGCGCUAUGCCGAUUGGGUGUCCGCACUAAGAUCUGCAUCAAUAUGGUGACCUCCCGGGAUCAGGGGACCACCAGGUUGCCUAAGGAGGGGUGAACCGGCUGAGGUCGGAAACGGAGCAGGUCAAGAAUUUUAGGGGGGCAAAAAAAAGAAUUUUAGGGGGGCUUAAACAUUCAUUGUAAAGCAUACAGUGUGCU